CCUACGGGGGGCAGCAGUGGGGAAUAUUGGACAAUGGGGGGAACCCUGAUCCAGCCAUGCCGCGUGUGUGAAGAAGGCCCUCGGGUUGUAAAGCACUUUCAGUGAGGAAGAACGCCUGGUGGUUAAUACCCAUCAGGAAAGACAUCACUCACAGAAGAAGCACCGGCUAACUCCGUGCCAGCAGCCGCGGUAAUACGGAGGGUGCGAGCGUUAAUCGGAAUUACUGGGCGUAAAGCGCGCGUAGGUGGCUUGAUAAGCCGGUUGUGAAAGCCCCGGGCUCAACCUGGGAACGGCAUCCGGAACUGUCAAGCUUGAGGGCAAGGGAGGAAGGUAAAAUUCCCGGGGGAGGGGGGAAAAGCGGAGAGGUCGGGAGGGAUACCAGUGGCGAAGGGCGGCUUUCGGAACGGACAUGGCCCCGGGGUGCGAAAACGUGGGGAACCAAACGGAUUAGAUACCCGUGUAGUC
RNAcentral lists this ribosomal RNA (465 nucleotides) under Vreelandella stevensii. Its description in RNAcentral is "partial 16S ribosomal RNA". It matches the Rfam family "Bacterial small subunit ribosomal RNA", at positions 338 to 795 of the family's 1533-position model. The record is from RNAcentral. Lineage: Bacteria; Pseudomonadati; Pseudomonadota; Gammaproteobacteria; Oceanospirillales; Halomonadaceae.